ACGCACGCUGGCGGCGUGCUUAACCCCUGCAAGUCGAACGGAAAGGCCCUGCUUUUGUGGGGUGCUCGAGUGGCGAACGGGUGAGUAACACGUGAGUAACCUGCCCUUGACUUUGGGAUAACUUCAGGAAACUGGGGCUAAUACCGGAUAGGAGCUCCUGCUGCAUGGUGGGGGUUGGAAAGUUUCGGCGGUUGGGGAUGGACUCGCGGCUUAUCAGCUUGUUGGUGGGGUAGUGGCUUACCAAGGCUUUGACGGGUAGCCGGCCUGAGAGGGUGACCGGCCACAUUGGGACUGAGAUACGGCCCAGACUCCUACGGGAGGCAGCAGUGGGGAAUAUUGCACAAUGGGAGGAAGCCUGAUGCAGCAACGCCGCGUGCGGGAUGACGGCCUUCGGGUUGUAAACCGCUUUCGCCUGUGACGAAGCGUGAGUGACGGUAAUGGGUAAAGAAGCACCGGCUAACUACGUG
RNAcentral lists this ribosomal RNA (467 nucleotides) under uncultured bacterium. Its description in RNAcentral is "partial 16S ribosomal RNA". It matches the Rfam family "Bacterial small subunit ribosomal RNA", at positions 29 to 507 of the family's 1533-position model. The record is from RNAcentral.